This 124-nucleotide small nucleolar RNA is filed under the name Theobroma cacao (cacao). RNAcentral describes it as "snoRNA SNORD14". It matches the Rfam family "Small nucleolar RNA SNORD14". From Rfam's summary of the family: U14 small nucleolar RNA (U14 snoRNA) is required for early cleavages of eukaryotic precursor rRNAs. In yeasts, this molecule possess a stem-loop region (known as the Y-domain) which is essential for function. A similar structure, but with a different consensus sequence, is found in plants, but is absent in vertebrates. The record is from Rfam by way of RNAcentral. RNAcentral also lists the same sequence under 1 other name. Lineage: Eukaryota; Viridiplantae; Streptophyta; Magnoliopsida; Malvales; Malvaceae.
GGUUGAUGAUGACAAAUCCAAAGGCUUGUUUCUCAAAACAUUCGCAGUGGCCGCCUAAGAGCUUUCGCCUUCGCCAGGCUUGAGAGCUUGUGCUGCUUCAUUCCUUCCUUGGAUGUCUGAAACU